Molecule: ribosomal RNA, 253 nt
Filed under: uncultured bacterium
Lineage: Bacteria
Description: partial 16S ribosomal RNA
Rfam family: Bacterial small subunit ribosomal RNA
Source: RNAcentral
UACGUAGGGUGCAAGCGUUAAUCGGAAUUACUGGGCGUAAAGCGUGCGCAGGCGGUUUUGUAAGUCAGAUGUGAAAUCCCCGGGCUUAACCUGGGAAUGGCCGUUGAAACUGGCGAACUGGAGUGUGGCAGAGGGGGGUGGAAUUCCGCGUGUAGCAGUGAAAUGCGUAGAGAUGCGGAGGAACACCGAUGGCGAAGGCAGCCCCCUGGGCUAACACUGACGCUCAGGCACGAAAGCGUGGGGAGCAAACAGG